Molecule: non-coding RNA, 22 nt
Filed under: Arabidopsis thaliana (thale cress)
Lineage: Eukaryota; Viridiplantae; Streptophyta; Magnoliopsida; Brassicales; Brassicaceae
Source: RNAcentral
UACCAAGUCGUGCCAUCUCUUU